AUGUACAAUACAUAUAGUAAUGAAAACGAUAAUAAUAAUAAUAACAAUAAUAAUAAUAAUAACAAUAAUAAUAAUAAUAAUAAUACCAGCAGUUUAUCUUAUUCUUAUAUAAAAGAAAACAGCAAAUUCGAAAACAAAAUAAAUGAUAGCAGUAAUGUGGUUAUUUUUCGUAAAACAGAAAACGACAGUAAAGCUAAUUUUAACUUCCAAGAUAAUAAGUUAAUUUAUAACGAAAAUAUAAUAAAUGAAAAAAAUAUAAACACAUGUUCAAUGUCAGAUAUGGUAAUUAACAAUUAUAAUAGUAGUGAGGGUAAUAUUAAUAGAAGCAGUGUCUUUAGGAGCAGUAGUAAUAACAAUCAUAGCAACGGGAAUAAUAACAACGACGGGGAUAGCAACCGAAAUAACAACGAUGAGGAUAGCAACCGAAAUAAAAACGAUGAGGAUAGCAACCAAAAUAACAAUUUUAAUAAAAGAAAAAAUAGUUGUUCAUACAAUAUAACAAAUAAAAAAACAAAAAUGAUUUCUUCUGAAGAGAACAUUAGUAGUUGUUACAAUAACAAUUCAUGGAAUACUCCAAUAUGUGUUAUACCUAUACAAAAUAAUAGUAACAAAGUAAAUUAUGUGAAAAAAAUACGAAGUAUGGAUGACCUGAGGUUUGAUUAUAUACCUACUCAUAGUAGUAAUAGUAGUAGUAGUAUUAACAUAAAUAAAGCGAAUAGUUGUCCUAAUAUAACUAAAGUGAAUAAUUGUAAUUAUAUAAAGACUGUUAAUAAUAGUAAUUAUUACCCAUUUGUUUAUAUGACAAAUCCAAACAAUUAUAAUAAGGAUACUAAUUAUAAUUAUGACCAGAAUAACAUUAAUAUUAAUAGUAGCAAUAACAACAUACACAGUAGUAAUAGUAACAUACAUAGUAGUACUGAUAACAUACACAGUAGUACUAAUAACAUACACAGUAGUACUAAUAACAUACACAGUAAUAAUGACAACAUACACAGUAAUAAUGACAACAUACACAGUAAUAAUGUUUUAACAUUUGAUAGAAAUAUGAUAAAAAACAAUUGUAAUUUUAUUAAAAAUACAAAUUUUUUGGAUAACAACUCAAAUAAUAUCAAUAAUUCAGAAAAGGAUGGUUUAUAUUUUAUGGAAACAAAAAAUUAUGAAAUAAAUAAUAUGGAUGAACAGAAUAAUUAUAACAAUACAUUUGUUGAUUCUAACCUUAACGUUAAUAAUGAUUAUCCAAAUAGUACUAGUACUACUACAAAUAGUAGUAUUAGUAGUAGUUAUAAUAAUGAUUAUAACAAUGUAAGUAGUUGUAUAAAUACUAUGAAUAAAAACAUAGCAUCAACAAAUGAAGAUACACAUACAAACAUAAAUGUACCGGGAAAAAAAAAGGUAGACCUGAUACUGAUACUUCAUUACCAAUUGCUAAUAUAA
This 1434-nucleotide long non-coding RNA is filed under the name Piliocolobus tephrosceles (Ugandan red Colobus). RNAcentral describes it as "lncRNA (ENSPTEG00000022736.1)". The record is from RNAcentral. Lineage: Eukaryota; Metazoa; Chordata; Mammalia; Primates; Cercopithecidae.